This 323-nucleotide ribosomal RNA is filed under the name Cercomonadidae sp. Its description in RNAcentral is "SSU rRNA". The stretch from base 104 to 323 matches the Rfam family "Eukaryotic small subunit ribosomal RNA", at positions 735 to 955 of the family's 1831-position model. The record is from RNAcentral. Lineage: Eukaryota; Cercozoa; Cercomonadida; Cercomonadidae.
GAUUUCUGGUUCGGCGCAAUAGGCCCGCCUCGGUUCACGAGGUUGUGUGCCGUUUGCGCCAUCCAUCCUUCGAGAAAACACUUCUGCCCUUCACUGGGUUGGAUGUGCUAUCUCGAUCUUUUACUUUGAAAAAAUUAGAGUGUUUAAAGCAGGCUUUUUGCUAUGAAUACAUUAGCAUGGAAUAAUAAUUUAGGACUUUGGCCCUAUUUUGUUGGUUUCUAGGACUGAAGUAAUGAUUGAUAGGGAUAGUUGGGGGUGCUCGAAUUCAGCGGCCAGAGGUGAAAUUCUUGGAUUCGCUGAAGACGAACUCAUGCGAAAGCAUU